This is a long non-coding RNA of Oreochromis aureus, 631 nucleotides long. RefSeq lists it as uncharacterized. Lineage: Eukaryota; Metazoa; Chordata; Actinopteri; Cichliformes; Cichlidae. The record is from RefSeq and is a predicted model, not a curated record. The transcript is spliced from 4 exons.
GGACGAUGAAGGAAACAUCUGUGCUGUGUCUGUUCUUCUAUUCACUGACAUCUUAAUCCUGUGUUCUCCUGAGCUUGAACCUGAACAUCAGACCAACCAUUGACUGCAGGAGACAUGAGCCUCAGACCAGCUCACCAUCACUAUCUUCAUCAUCAUCAUCAUCAUCAUCACCAUCAGCCCAGAGCACUACCACAGCUGAGUCUGGACAGGACGUAGUUCUACCAUGUCGAGUAUCACCAGACAAAACCAUCAGAGCUGUGAAGUGGAGCAGAGCUGACCUGGGGAAGGAAUAUGUGCUUCUGUUCCGGGAUGAGCAGCUGGAUCUAGAAGAGCAGCAUCCAUCUUUUAAGAACCGGGUGGAUCUGCAGGACAGACAGAUGAAGGAUGGAGACGUAUCUUUGAUUCUGAAGAAUGUGACGACUGCUGAUGAUGGAUCAUACAAUUGUAAAAUAUUCAACGGAGGGACAAAAUCAUGGGAGAUCAUCAACACUGUCAGCCUGACUGUUUCAGCUCAGACAGCAGAACACACAGUUGCACCUGUUGGACUCAUCGCUGGUCUGAGUGUUCCUGCUGUGCUUCUUGUUGCUGCUGUUGUUGGUUUUGUGAUCUACAGAAAACAUAAACAACAGAA